This 1058-nucleotide small RNA is filed under the name uncultured Pelagibacterales bacterium. RNAcentral's name for it is "bacterial SSU rRNA". The stretch from base 1 to 658 matches the Rfam family "Bacterial small subunit ribosomal RNA", at positions 867 to 1533 of the family's 1533-position model. Lineage: Bacteria; Pseudomonadati; Pseudomonadota; Alphaproteobacteria; Candidatus Pelagibacterales. The record is from RNAcentral.
CACCGCCUGGGGAGUACGACCGCAAGGUUAAAACUCAAAUGAAUUGACGGGGACCCGCACAAGUAGUGGAGCAUGUGGUUUAAUUCGAAGAUACGCGCAGAACCUUACCAACACUUGACAUGUUCGUCGCGACCUUAAGAGAUUAAGGUUUUCGGUUCGGCCGGACGAAACACAGGUGCUGCAUGGCUGUCGUCAGCUCGUGUCGUGAGAUGUUGGGUUAAGUCCCGCAACGAGCGCAACCCUCACUUUUAGUUGCCAUCAUUUAGUUGGGCACUCUGAAAGAACUGCCAGUGAUAAGCUGGAGGAAGGUGGGGAUGACGUCAAGUCCUCAUGGCCCUUACGUGUUGGGCUACACACGUGCUACAAUGGCAUCUACAAUAGGAAGCAAGAUGGCGACAUUGAGCAAAUCCUAAAAAGAUGCCUCAGUUCGGAUUGCACUCUGCAACUCGAGUGCAUGAAGCUGGAAUUACUAGUAAUCGCGGAUCAGCGCGCCGCGGUGAAUACGUUCCCGGGUCUUGUACACACCGCCCGUCACACCAUGGGAGUUGGUUCUACCUUAAGGCAGAGUUUAAAACCUCUGACCACGGUAUAGUCAGCGACUGGGGUGAAGUCGUAACAAGGUAGCCGUAGGGGAACCUGCGGCUGGAUUACCUCCUUUCUAAGGAUGGUUAAGAAAAAUUUCUUAACCUAAAUAAUUAACAGGUUAAUGUUGACCGUCCUCAUUUCUCUUCUUAAAAGUGUUUCUCUUUACUGAAUAGGGGCCGGUAGCUCAGUUGGUUAGAGCACACCCUUGAUAAGGGUGGGGUCGAAAGUUCGAGUCUUUCUCGGCCCACCAUAUUAUUUGGGGGAUUAGCUCAGCUGGGAGAGCGCCUGAUUUGCAUUCAGGAGGUCAGCGGUUCGAUCCCGCUAUCCUCCACCAGAAACACUUAGCUAUUAAAAUUGUGAAUAAAUUAAUAAUAUCAAUAUCUAUAUCCGAUUGUUCUAAAAAUGAACAAUCAAGAAUGUUCGAAUAGAUGAACAUUCCAACAAAAUUUGAUUCAACACAGAAUUUUUUUCUG